This 253-nucleotide ribosomal RNA is filed under the name uncultured bacterium. RNAcentral describes it as "partial 16S ribosomal RNA". It matches the Rfam family "Bacterial small subunit ribosomal RNA", at positions 524 to 776 of the family's 1533-position model. The record is from RNAcentral.
UACAGAGGGUGCGAGCGUUGUCCGGAAUCACUGGGCGUAAAGGGCGCGUAGGUGGCGCGACAAGUCGGUGGUGAAAGCUCGACGCUUAACGUCGAGUCGGCCACUGAUACUGUCGGGCUUGAGCACUGUAGAGGCUAAUGGAAUUCCGGGUGUAGCGGUGGAAUGCGUAGAGAUCCGGAAGAACACCGGUGGCGAAGGCGGUUAGCUGGGCAGUUGCUGACACUGAGGCGCGACAGCGUGGGGAGCAAACAGG